CCUACGGGGGGCAGCAGUGGGGAAUAUUGGACAAUGGGGGCAACCCUGAUCCAGCCAUGCCGCGUGUGUGAAGAAGGCCCUCGGGUUGUAAAGCACUUUCAGUGAGGAAGAACGCCUGGUGGUUAAUACCCAUCAGGAAAGACACCACUCACAGAAGAAGCACCGGCUAACUCCGUGCCAGCAGCCGCGGUAAUACGGAGGGUGCGAGCGUUAAUCGGAAUUACUGGGCGUAAAGCGCGCGUAGGUGGCUUGAUAAGCCGGUUGUGAAAGCCCCGGGCUCAACCUGGGAACGGCAUCCGGAACUGUCAAGCUAGAGUGCAGGAGAGGAAGGUAGAAUUCCCGGUGUAGCGGUGAAAUGCGUAGAGAUCGGGAGGAAUACCAGUGGCGAAGGCGGCCUUCUGGACUGACACUGACACUGAGGUGCGAAAGCGUGGGUAGCAAACAGGAUUAGAUACCCUAGUAGUC
This 465-nucleotide ribosomal RNA is filed under the name Vreelandella stevensii. Its description in RNAcentral is "partial 16S ribosomal RNA". It matches the Rfam family "Bacterial small subunit ribosomal RNA", at positions 338 to 795 of the family's 1533-position model. The record is from RNAcentral. Lineage: Bacteria; Pseudomonadati; Pseudomonadota; Gammaproteobacteria; Oceanospirillales; Halomonadaceae.